AGCGUUCCUAAAUUUUGAUUCGUUGAUGAGUUCAUCUCCCAAUCAUCAGUUAUCUUAUCCCCGCAAGGCUAGAGUACAACACUGAAGAUUAAAAACUUCUUCCCGAGUUGAGUAGCUGCGUUGAAUUCUUCAAGCAUAUUUUUUUAGAAAUUCAACAAGGCCCCAUUUUCAACAUCAAUUCGGCUUUUUGUAGAUAUUUCUUGAAAGAUGAUCCUGCGCUGGAAUUACGUAGAAAGAUAUAGCAGCGCUGCCCUGAGACAUCUCGUAUUUAGUCCACUCUUUCAGUCUUUGUUGUUGGAGUUCAAGAUUCCUGCGUUGUUCUCUAAGACGAACGUACUGUGCUGCCCUCUUGAUGCUUCAAUUCUCCUCGAAGAUAACCCAACGUUCUUGAUGCCUCGCUGCUUCAAUGCAGUGGCGAACUGCCCUCCCCCUUCCCUAUGAGCUUAUUGACAACAGCGAGAUCGGGAUGAACCGAUUAACCCCCGACAGAUGUAACUUGGUGGCCAGCGUCAG
RNAcentral lists this long non-coding RNA (513 nucleotides) under Salvia miltiorrhiza (redroot sage). RNAcentral describes it as "long non-coding RNA (SMIL_LNC003113)". The record is from RNAcentral. Lineage: Eukaryota; Viridiplantae; Streptophyta; Magnoliopsida; Lamiales; Lamiaceae.